Molecule: ribosomal RNA, 720 nt
Filed under: uncultured ammonia-oxidizing bacterium
Lineage: Bacteria
Description: bacterial SSU rRNA
Rfam family: Bacterial small subunit ribosomal RNA
Source: RNAcentral
GAGCACGUAGGUGGGUUUGUAAGUCAGAUGUGAAAGCCUUCUGUUCAACGGAAGAAUUGCAUCUGAAACUGCUAAUCUUGAGUAUAGGAGGGGAGAAUGGAACUUCUGGUGGAGCGGUGAAAUGCGUAGAUAUCAGAAGGAACGCCGGCGGCGAAAGCGAUUCUCUGGCCUAUUACUGACACUCAGUGUGCGAAAGCUAGGGGAGCAAACGGGAUUAGAUACCCCGGUAGUCCUAGCCGUAAACGAUGGGCACUAAGUAGAGGGAAUUACCUAUAUUCUCUCUGCCGUAGCUAACGCAUUAAGUGCCCCGCCUGGGGAGUACGGCCGCAAGGCUAAAACUCAAAAGAAUUGACGGGGGCUCGCACAAGCGGUGGAGCAUGUGGCUUAAUUCGAUGCAACGCGAAAAACCUUACCGGGGCUUGACAUGAUAGAAGUAGGAACCUGAAAGGGGGACGAACGGUAUCCAGUCCGUAGCUAUUACAGGUGUUGCAUGGCUGUCGUCAGCUCGUGUCGUGAGACGUUGGGUUAAGUCCCCUAACGAGCGAAACCCUUGUUUUUAGUUACCAGCGGGUUAUGCCGGGUACUCUAGAAAGACUGCCGUCGUCAAGACGGAGGAAGGUGGGGAUGACGUCAAGUCAUCAUGGCCCUUAUGCCCCGGGCUGCACACGUGCUACAAUGGUCGGUACAGACGGAAGCGAAGCCGAGAGGUGAAGCGAAUCC